Molecule: long non-coding RNA, 144 nt
Organism: Etheostoma spectabile (orangethroat darter)
Lineage: Eukaryota; Metazoa; Chordata; Actinopteri; Perciformes; Percidae
Exons: 3
Source: RefSeq, a predicted model, not a curated record
UACAUUGUGUCAUUUUUUGAGUUGAUUCUUAGCAACUACAAAAGCUUUGUUCUUUUACAAAUAUGUGCUCAUUCCUGUGUAAUUACUUCCACCAAGUAAUCAAAGUAUUCUCGUAAGCGUAGAAUCUGGCAGUCAAAAUCAUUC